GACGAACGCUGGCGGCGUGCUUAACACAUGCAAGUCGAGCGGUAAGGCCCUUUCGGGGGUACACGAGCGGCGAACGGGUGAGUAACACGUGGGUGACCUGCCCUCAGCUCUGGGAUAAGCCUGGGAAACCGGGUCUAAUACUGGAUAUGACUCCAUGACGCAUGUUGUGGGGUGGAAAGCCUUGUGCGGCUGAGGAUGGGCCCGCGGCCUAUCAGCUUGUUGGUGGGGUGAGGCCUACCAAGGCGACGACGGGUAGCCGGCCUGAGAGGGCGACCGGCCACACUGGGACUGAGACACGGCCCAGACUCCUACGGGAGGCAGCAGUGGGGAAGUCUUGCGC
RNAcentral lists this ribosomal RNA (340 nucleotides) under uncultured bacterium. RNAcentral's name for it is "bacterial SSU rRNA". It matches the Rfam family "Bacterial small subunit ribosomal RNA", at positions 28 to 369 of the family's 1533-position model. The record is from RNAcentral.